AUUGGCGAAUGAGCAGGGAUGAGCUCAGCAUGGAAAUUGGGGCCUUCGGCCUUGACUUGUAAGCUGGUGAGGUAUUGCCAACAGAGGCGCAGAUGUAAGUCUCUUGGAAAAGAGCAUCAAUGAGGGUGAGAGUCCCUGCUUGCCAUCUGCAGCCCCCUGUGCACGGUGUACCUACUAAGAGUCACGUUCCUCGGGAUUGGAGCGCAAAGUGGGUGGUAACUUUCAUCUGAAGCUAAAUAUUGGUUUGAGACCGAUAGGAAACAAGUACCAUGAGGGAAAGGUGAAAAGGACUUUGGAAAGAGAGUUAAAAGUGCCUGAAAUUGCUGAAUGGGAAGCGAAUGGAACCAGUGUUCCUUGGUGAGAUUGUCAUAUGUUAUAAUGAUUGGUUGCUGAUUCAGUGCAAGUGUUCUGGUAAGCAUUGAUCUGUAAGUGUGUGGUGUGUCUUGCCUUGAGUGUCAUCAUGGGCUUCUGCAUUAAGACAAUUCAAAAUUCAGGGUAAUAUGUUCGUGAAGGUAUGAAUGUGCUUUGCUAUGUUUAUGCAGAAGCUUCUGUUUAUGUCUGGCUGCUGUGCUUGCUCCAACCUU
This 584-nucleotide ribosomal RNA is filed under the name Phalacroma rotundatum. RNAcentral's name for it is "LSU rRNA". It matches the Rfam family "Eukaryotic large subunit ribosomal RNA", at positions 85 to 614 of the family's 3401-position model. The record is from RNAcentral. Lineage: Eukaryota; Dinophyceae; Dinophysales; Dinophysaceae.